RNAcentral lists this ribosomal RNA (370 nucleotides) under uncultured organism. RNAcentral describes it as "bacterial SSU rRNA". It matches the Rfam family "Bacterial small subunit ribosomal RNA", at positions 526 to 896 of the family's 1533-position model. The record is from RNAcentral.
CGGGGGGAGCAAGCGUUGUUCGGAUUCAUUGGGCGUAAAGAGCUCGUAGGUGGCUUUGUAAGUCGGAGGUGAAAUCCCACGGCUCAACCGUGGACACGCCUCCGAAACUGUGAAGCUUGAGGCUGGGAGAGGAAAUCGGAAUUCCUGGUGUAGCGGUGAAAUGCGUAGAUAUCAGGAGGAACACCGGUGGCGAAGGCGGAUUUCUGGACCAGUUCUGACACUGAGGAGCGAAAGCUAGGGGAGCAAACAGGAUUAGAUACCCUGGUAGUCCUAGCUGUAAACGAUGGGCACUAGGUGUGGGAGGAUCGACCCUUCCGUGCCGCAGUUAACGCAUUAAGUGCCCCGCCUGGGGAGUACGACCGCAAGGUUG